CAUUGAGAAGCUAUAGUAGCGUUAACCUUUUAAGUUAAAGAAUGGGAGCUUAAAUCUCUCCUUAAUGA
RNAcentral lists this transfer RNA (68 nucleotides) under Suncus murinus (house shrew). Its description in RNAcentral is "tRNA-Lys". It matches the Rfam family "tRNA". Rfam says of the family: Transfer RNA (tRNA) molecules are approximately 80 nucleotides in length. Their secondary structure includes four short double-helical elements and three loops (D, anti-codon, and T loops). Further hydrogen bonds mediate the characteristic L-shaped molecular structure. tRNAs have two regions of fundamental functional importance: the anti-codon, which is responsible for specific mRNA codon recognition, and the 3' end, to which the tRNAs corresponding amino acid is attached (by aminoacyl-tRNA synthetases). tRNAs cope with the degeneracy of the genetic code in two manners: having more than one tRNA (with a specific anti-codon) for a particular amino acid; and 'wobble' base-pairing, i.e. permitting non-standard base-pairing at the 3rd anti-codon position. The record is from RNAcentral. RNAcentral also lists the same sequence under 1 other name. Lineage: Eukaryota; Metazoa; Chordata; Mammalia; Eulipotyphla; Soricidae.